This 552-nucleotide long non-coding RNA is filed under the name Chinchilla lanigera (long-tailed chinchilla). RNAcentral's name for it is "lncRNA (ENSCLAG00000022589.1)". The record is from RNAcentral. Lineage: Eukaryota; Metazoa; Chordata; Mammalia; Rodentia; Chinchillidae.
CUGACAGUUGAGGAGUGGCUUCUGCAGACAUACAGACAUCAGAAACUCAGAGUCCAUCACUCAAAAAUUCUAGAAGAUUCAACUCCAACUGUGUUCUGUCCAUGCACUUCUCUUCUCAAACAGCCAAGGCAGACAGUCUGAGCUCCAACCAGUGAUCAAGUGGGCAUGGUCCUGGAGGCAUCAGCCCUGCAUCAGCUUAGCAGAACCACUGGGAGAAGGGGAAGAAAAGUUUCACCAAGAAAGGGAUGUGUGGCCAGGUCCAGCCAGCUGAGGUGCUCACAACUGAAUCCCAGCUACUUAGGAGACUAAGGCAGGAAGAGGGCAAGCUGGAAGGUGGCCUGGACAACUCAGUAAGUCUCAAAAUGCAUGGAGGCUGAGGGUGGAGUGUGGUUACCCAGCAUGUCACGUAUGAAUUCAUUAUUUUUAACUGCAGUUGUCAUUAUUAUUAAUGGCUGGAAUUAUCAUAGAUCUUGAGAACUUACUCUUCUUGUAACAUAAAUUUUAUAUCAUUGGAACAAAAUCCAUUUCCUCCACUGCCUAGCUCCUGGUGGC